Equus caballus (horse) is the source of this 3480-nucleotide long non-coding RNA. The record is from Ensembl. NCBI's taxonomy places the organism in Eukaryota, Metazoa, Chordata, Mammalia, Perissodactyla, Equidae.
GACACUGAGGGUGUGGGGGCCGGGAGCUGCCCUGGGUGAAAACACCACAGACUCUCAUUGGUCUCCCUCAGCCUCAGAUGCUCCUCGGUGGGUUGUGUGCCUUCGGUCUCUUGGCAGAGUGCUGACCUGGUGGUUUUCUGCCGGCUUCUCCAGUGUGGUCAUUGCUGUGCGGGAGGCGGAUUUGCUGAAUUCCUCGCUCCACCAUUCCGUGUGUCCUGCCAGCCCACCCUGAGGACGUUUGGAAGGCACAUCCUUCCAGCAAUCUGAGCACCCAAGAUGGAGACUCCGGGGCCUGGAGGAUUUUGAGAAGAGCUGGUGGGAAGGCAGUACUGCAAAGCUUUUUGCUUCCGGAAAGCUCUCUGGGGUCCUCAGCAUUUUCCUGUUUUGCAUCAAAAUCCUGAGAUCUUGAAAAUGCCAGCAAGGUUACAACGUGGGCCCCAAAAACCACUGUCUCUGGGCAUCCAACACCAAUCAAAUAUUCAGAAUUGCUUGUCACUUGAGAUGAGUGGAAAGGAAUCGGGCAGGUGGGGUGGAGGGGUGGUCUUGGACCCCACUUUGUGUUGGAAGGACAAAUGCCAUGCAGAUGAGUCUUUCUCUGGGCAGAAGGGCGGGACCUUUGUGGAGAGCCCAGCCGCAGACACUGCUGUGGUCGCACUCCUGUUCCCUCAGCCCACCUGAGUGCCCCUGCAGCUGGGAGCCAGUGCCCAGGAGACUGAUAGCGGCCCCCUGCAGUGCCUGCAUCCCUCCUCCCUGCCUGAGGGCUCUCCUGCCCCAUGGGCCCUCCCUCUCCUGCAAGGCUGUGCGGCCUUGUGCAGGAAUGCCCUGGGGUGUUCCCUCCACCUGAGGGGACCGAGCCAGUCCAGGCAGGACCUGGUCUCCUGCUGGGACAGAGUGAUGCUCACCACAGUGGUGCUGGUUCUUCAGGCCCCGCUAAGGCUUUAAUCCUCCAGGCUCACUCCCCGCAUCCUCCCUCAGGCUUCCUGGGAAGACCUGCAAACAAUUUCCCCUCCAUCCUCCUCUGCAUGGGUACCAAACUCUGCUGAGACGCCACACUGGCUGUGUCUUUGGACAGGCUGUACAGCCUUCUGGACUUGAGCUUCCUCGCCUGGAAGAUGCUGACAAAUGGCCUCCCUCAGGGAGUCAUCAGGGGGGACCCAGUGUGUGACGAUGGAAACCACUGCAAAGAACGACGCCAAGUGAUCCUAAGUGAAAGUGCCAGCCUUGCAAAAGAAGCAGGAGCUCAUGAGGCCCAGGGGGGAAUGCGGGAAGCCUGUCCCAAUGGCGCGGACAGUCCCGGAUGGAUGAGGGUGGCCUCGCAGGGCAGGCCCCCGAGCAGCAGAAGAGCCAUUGGAUGAGGAGGGACCAGGACAGAGGCUUCCAAGGAGGAAGAUUGAAGUGCUAGGAGGUGAAAGAGGCCUUAGGAAAAGUGUGAGCCCUAGAAGAUGUUUCCUCAAAUGCCAUUGUUGGUCAGAAAAAUGGUGUCACCAAGCCCCAAUCCAUUAGAUUUCUUCUUUGUUGGUUUUAGGAAUCAGUGCACACUUGUAAUCAGAGCCCAUGUUUUGUUCAACAUAGGGCAUAUUUCUUUGUCCUAACUUUUCCUUCUUUUCUUGUUCUAGCAGAGGAGCCGUGCACGUCUUCUCUCCAUUCUUUCCUGUGCAUGACUGGCCUCCUCUGUUCAGAAGCGGAUUGCUGGUGCUCAUCACUCCCCCUCACCCGAGAGAUGGCCGUCUUCCAUGUCACACAGCAGAUGUGAACCGCGGGGACAAGGGUCACGCCAGGUCACACUCACUGGUGAGGUCACAUUGCUGGGUGCACAGUUGGGACCAGAGGAUUUGGGCUGAAUGAGUGAAAAGUAUGAGUGAGAGUAGAAAUGAAUGAAUGACUGAGUGAGUGAGUGAGUGAAGGAAGGAAGGAGGGAAUGAAAGCCUCAGUGAAUGAGUGAGGGAGCGCCUAAAGUCACAGCAGCUGGGAUCCACCGAGGAGGAGACUUGAUUUCUGGUGGGCUCCGAGGCUGUCACAGGGCAGGCCCUGCACAGCGGCAUGGAAUGUGUCCAGCUGUCCUUCCGGCUCUGAGCCCCUGUCACCUGCAACACAGAGUCGCCUGGAUCUUCUUCAACUCCGCCUCAAGGAAUGCUGGCUAUUCCUGGGGACAGGGCAGCAGGAGGGAAGCCGAGGAGGGACUCCCCAGACCCCGCACCCAGGAGGACCACUGUGACAGCCUGGCAGGUGGUUCCCAAUGCACUCCGGGCAGCAGGCAAGAGAUCCACAAGUCCUUCCUCAGCGGAGUCUCCCAAGAGCCCGUACGGAGGCCCAGUCAUUUCCUCAUUGCGCAGAAGGGGAAGCUGAGGCUCAGGGUCUCCCCUGCAGUCGCCAGCUAGAGAGAGGCUGAGCAUCGCCUAGGACCCCUGUCUCUCCGGCCCGGGGUCAUUCUGCCCAGUGUCCCACAUUGCAACCUCCUGGAGCUCAGGACUCCUGUCUUUCCUGGAGCCAGCCCCAUUCCGGCGUCCAGCCAUCACUGAACUUGAGGCCCAGGGCCAUCCCGUUUGCUUGGGGCUGGGGUGGUGACCAGGUUGGCCAGCCACAGACACUGUGGGCUCUCCGAGGACCAGGACCAGCCUAUCCCCCCACAGGAUGAGGUCUCUCUGGGCACCAGCACCAAAGAUUGUCAGGACUUUAGGGAAAAGAGGAGCCGAUCCUGCUGACAUCACCCCCAGGAGUCCCUGGGGCCCUUGGCCUCUGCCCACUCUGUUCUCCCGCCAGGCAUGCCCGACUCGCUCUGACUCCUUUGUUCCUCUGGAAUAUCUUUCUCCACCCCAUCCGGUGCCAUGACAGUCUGCCAGCCCGGGUGGGAUCCAGGCCCCCGGCCCAGCUCUCCUCCUGGGAUUCCUCAUCAUGGGAGCUAGUAGCUGUGGGGCUCUUCGAAGGAGCAGCCACUCCAAGUGCAGCCUCUGUGAACUUGUCUCACACUACCAUGGAAGGUCGGCUACCAGCCCAGUGCUCAGGGGAGGAAAGCGAGGCUCGAAUGGCAGUCCCUUGUCAAGGUCCCCAGGGCUCUCUCCCUCGUCCCCACUAAGCACAGCCCCUCCCUCCCAGAAGCAGAGUCUGCUGGCUGUGUGGACCAGGGGCUGGCACAGAGCCUGAGGCAAGGGUCACUGCUAGAGGACCCUAGCUCUGCUUUGGGCUCAAUGACCUUCUCUAAAGCCCCCCAGCCCCAGGCUUAGAGCUCUGGCACCUUCCACGAGGCCUCCGCCAUACCUUGUCAAAGUCCCUUCUGCUCACACGAGGUCCAGCGGGUCCUGCGCAUGCAGCUGAGAACGACCCCUGGAUGGAGCACGUUCGAGGUGGUCCCUGUGACUCUGUGCACUGCCCUAGAUAUUCUUUCCUGCCUCGAGGAUGGGGUUUGGAGGGAGAGAGAGCAGGCAGGAGUGUGUGGGCCCUCCUCAUCCUUUGUCCUGGUCAGCAGGUCAGGCUACUCAGCUC